CUAGCGGCAGGCCUAAUACAUGCAAGUCCUACGGAUCCAGCUUUCGGGCUGGUGAGAGUGGCGCACGGGUGCGUAACACGUAUGCAACCUACCUUUAACUGGGGGAUAGCCUUUCGAAANNGAGAUUAAUACCGCAUAAAACAGCAGCACUGCAUGGUGUCACUGUUAAAGCUUCGGUGGUUAAAGAUGGGCAUGCGUUGCAUUAGCUAGUUGGUAAGGUAACGGCUUACCAAGGCUACGAUGCAUAGGGGAUCUGAGAGGAUGAUCCCCCACACUGGUACUGAGACACGGACCAGACUCCUACGGGAGGCAGCAGUAAGGAAUAUUGGUCAAUGGGCGCAAGCCUGAACCAGCCAUGCCGCGUGCAGGAAGACGGCCCUAUGGGUUGUAAACUGCUUUUAUCGGGGAAUAAACCUCAUUACGUGUAAUGAGUUGAAGGUACCCGAAGAAUAAGGAUCGGCUAACUCCGUGCCAGCAGCCGCGGUAAUACGGAGGAUCCAAGCGUUAUCCGGAUUUAUUGGGUUUAAAGGGUGCGUAGGCGGUUUAUUAAGUCAGUGGUGAAAGCCCCGGAGCUCAACUUCGGAACUGCCAUUGAUACUGAUAGACUUGAGUACAGAUGAAGUGGGCGGAAUGUGACAAGUAGCGGUGAAUUGCUUAGAUAUGUCACAAAACACCGAUUGCGAAGGCAGCUCACUAAGUGUAACUGACGCUGAGGCACGAAAGCGUGGGGAUCAACAGGAUUAGA
This 745-nucleotide ribosomal RNA is filed under the name Solitalea sp. ARS-19. Its description in RNAcentral is "bacterial SSU rRNA". It matches the Rfam family "Bacterial small subunit ribosomal RNA", at positions 36 to 782 of the family's 1533-position model. The record is from RNAcentral. Lineage: Bacteria; Pseudomonadati; Bacteroidota; Sphingobacteriia; Sphingobacteriales; Sphingobacteriaceae.